AGCGAACGCUGGCGGCGUGCCUAACACAUGCAAGUCGAACGGUUCUGUUGGGGGCUUGCUCUCGACAGAGUAGUGGCAAACGGGUGAGUAACACGUGGGUAAUCUUCCUUCGAGUGAGGAAUAACUUCGGGAAACCGGAGCUAAUACUGCAUAACAUCUUGGAACGGCAGUUUCAAGAUCAAAGGGGGCGCAAGCUCCCGCUUGAAGUUGAGCUCGCGUCCUAUCAGCUAGUUGGUGAGGUAAUGGCUCACCAAGGCUCCGACGGGUAGCCGGCCUGAGAGGGUGGCCGGCCACACUGGGGACUGAGACACGGCCCAGACUCCUACGGGAGGCAGCAGUGGGGAAUAUUGCGCAAUGGACGAAAGUCUGACGCAGCGACGCCGCGUGGGUGAUGAAGGCCUUCGGGUCGUAAAGCCCUGUUGAGGGAGAGAAAGCUACUGUCGGUUAAUACCCGGCAGUGGUGAUAGUAUCCCUAGAGAAAGCACCGGCUAACUACGUGCC
This 501-nucleotide ribosomal RNA is filed under the name uncultured bacterium. RNAcentral describes it as "bacterial SSU rRNA". It matches the Rfam family "Bacterial small subunit ribosomal RNA", at positions 29 to 509 of the family's 1533-position model. The record is from RNAcentral.